This is a long non-coding RNA of Ananas comosus (pineapple), 794 nucleotides long. RefSeq lists it as uncharacterized. The record is from RefSeq and is a predicted model, not a curated record. Lineage: Eukaryota; Viridiplantae; Streptophyta; Magnoliopsida; Poales; Bromeliaceae. The transcript is spliced from 2 exons.
AGUGUUUAACUAGUGAAGCACUAUACGACAUUUAUGAAGGUACAUAUGCAGAAGGCAAAUAUGCUUGUGGAUGUGAGUAUUAUAGUAAUCACUCUAAAGGUUCAUCAUCGACCUCCCAGCCGGAGUCUCCAUUAGUCACGAUUCCAGGUGUCAGAGAGAAUUUUGAUGAACAUGUUGAAGAGACUCAGGAUGUCAAUCUGUUAGCUCAAAUACCCUUGCCAAAUGACCUACCUUACCCAGUCAAGUGCCUCCACCAUCACAAUCACAAACGCAAGCUUAAGAAGAAGUUAGGACUACAUCAAGUUAUAAAAAAAGAAAAAUGAGAAAAGAAAAUAUCGAUAAAAUGGGAGAUUAUCUAAUUGUGAAGGAGAGAGGUGAUGAUAAACUUGCUAAAGCUGUCACCGCAGCAGAGGUACAAACAAGAAGUUAUCAUAAUGAUAAAUAUUAUGUUGAUAAAUGUAUGGAGGUGUUUUAUGCAUUGCUUGAUCCAUGGACCAUGGACGAGGUAUUUAAAGCUUCAAGAGUGUUUCAAAGAAAGAAAAAGAAUCAUGAGGCUUGGCUUUCAUUGAAAGAUGAACAUAGGGCUUAUUGGAUAAAAAAGGUAUGGGAAGAAAGAAUUUAGAGUUAAACCUUAAGGUUGUUGCUUAGUUUCUUUACUAUGCUUUUUUAUUAGGCUUCUUUCAUUUUGUUUGUCAUGUUAAAUCUUACCGUUGACAUUUGUUGGUAUAUUGAACUUUAUAGUCUAUUUAGCAAGUUGGUAUCUUUAAUGCUAAAUAGAUUUUUGUUGGUAUCUA